This 133-nucleotide ribosomal RNA is filed under the name uncultured bacterium. Its description in RNAcentral is "partial 16S ribosomal RNA". It matches the Rfam family "Bacterial small subunit ribosomal RNA", at positions 355 to 503 of the family's 1533-position model. The record is from RNAcentral.
UGGGGAAUAUUGCACAAUGGGCGCAAGCCUGAUGCAGCGACGCCGCGUGGGGGAUGACGGCCUUGGUUGUAACCUCUUUCGCCAGGGACGAAGCGCAAGUGACGGUACCUGGAGAAGAAGCACCGGCCAACUA